Brachypodium distachyon (stiff brome) is the source of this 791-nucleotide long non-coding RNA. RefSeq lists it as uncharacterized. The transcript has 3 exons. The record is from RefSeq and is a predicted model, not a curated record. Lineage: Eukaryota; Viridiplantae; Streptophyta; Magnoliopsida; Poales; Poaceae.
AGCUGUUCUACCCUAUCAAGUAACCCUUUGAAUCCAUGUAGUGCAGGAUCUGCAUGAGACAAGCAUGUUACCAUCUGACAUGUGAUACGAUGGGUAUGGUACUUCUGCUUCUUACCAACCAAUACCACUUCGACGCCCAGCAAUGAACGCCACACCUAUGCCGAGAUUCCCACUUGUGACCCCCAGUAGUGUUGUGAUGCCAGAAAUUCUUCCUCUGAAGGAAAGACAAAACACCAGACACCUGAGAGCGCUACGAUCCUUCACAGAGGAAAGCGGCUGGUAUGGCUCAAUUUUCCCUAUCAGCCGAGCACCUAUGCCUUCUUUCUCAGCAAUGUUUUUCAGUUCUAUCAGUGGUGUCCAACCAAUGAGCUGGAAGGUACAGAAUUUACUUAAAAAUUGAACAUAACAAUAAUUGCACAGUAAAAGGUAUGAUGACUACAUACAGAGAAAGCAGGCAUGUACCUGUGUGAUGUUGGAUGCAAUGCACUCCCCCUGGGAGGACAGCAGAAAUGGUAUUCCUUUCCUUCCUUCCUGCACCUCCAUUUCUUUGGUACUUAUGUAGCAACAAAUAAAACUCUCUUGAACAAAUGGAUGAGUAGGAGGUGCUCCAGUGUCCAAUGAUCUGUGUAUAUAUCACUGAGGAGUUCCAUUCUGAUGGGAUACUGCAUGUAUAAAUUAACAUUUAGUUUGGAACGAAGGCGACCAAAGAUGUGGACUGAGAUCAUGGAAAUAGCCCUGAAACUUCCUUUAAGACCUUUGUUUUAAUAAAUUUGUGUUGGCAUAUGAGACAA